UACGUAGGGUGCGAGCGUUGUCCGGAAUUAUUGGGCGUAAAGGGCUCGUAGGCGGUUUGUCGCGUCGGGAGUGAAAACUCAGGGCUCAACCCUGAGCGUGCUUCCGAUACGGGCAGACUAGAGGUAUUCAGGGGAGAACGGAAUUCCUGGUGUAGCGGUGGAAUGCGCAGAUAUCAGGAGGAACACCGGUGGCGAAGGCGGUUCUCUGGGAAUUACCUGACGCUGAGGAGCGAAAGCAUGGGGAGCGAACAGG
This 253-nucleotide ribosomal RNA is filed under the name uncultured bacterium. Its description in RNAcentral is "partial 16S ribosomal RNA". It matches the Rfam family "Bacterial small subunit ribosomal RNA", at positions 524 to 776 of the family's 1533-position model. The record is from RNAcentral.